RNAcentral lists this long non-coding RNA (834 nucleotides) under Homo sapiens (human). RNAcentral describes it as "HSALNT0257125". Lineage: Eukaryota; Metazoa; Chordata; Mammalia; Primates; Hominidae. The record is from RNAcentral.
GAUCUCUCCACCAUGCACCUUGUGACCCCCUCCCCUGCUAACAAUAGAUAACUACUUUUAACUGUAACUUUCCACUGUCUACCCAAGCCCUAUAGAGCUGCCCCUCUCCUAUCUCCCUUUGCUGACUCUCUUUUCGGACUCAGCCCACUUGCACCCAAGUGAAUAAACAGCCUUGUUGCUCACACAAAGCCUGUUUGGUGGUCUCUUCACCUGGAUGUGCUUGACAUUUGGUGCCAUGACUCGGAUCAGGGGACCUCCCUUGGGAAAUGAAUCUCCUGUCCUCCUGCCUUUUGCUCCAUGAGAAAAUCCACCUACAAACUCGGGUCCUCAGACUGGCCCAAAAAACAUCUCACCAAUUUUAAAUCGGCCACUUCUAAGGCCCCUGGAGCUCUGGCUCAAAGCUCUCUGGCUGACUCCUUCCCAGAUCUCCUUGGCAAGACUGAUGCUGCUCAAUCGUCUCAGAAGCCCCCCGGACCAUCAUGGAUGCCAAGCUUCAGGUAACUCUUACAGUGGAGGGUAAGUCCGUCCCCUUCUUAGUCAAUAUGGAGGCUACCCCCUCCACAUUACGUUCUUUUCAAGGGCCUGUUUCCCUUGCCUCCGUAACUAUUGUGGGUAUUGACAGCCAGGCUUCUAAACCUCUUUAAACUCCCCCACUCUAGUGCCAACUUGGACAACAUUCUUUUAUGUACUCUUUUUUAGUUAUCCCCACCUGCGCAGUUCCCUUAUUAGGCCAAGACAUUUUAACAAAAUUAUCCACUACCCUGACUAUUCCUGGAAUACAGCCGCAUCUCAUUGCUGCCCUUCUUCCCAACCCAAAGCCUGUUUUGCAUCCUC